RNAcentral lists this ribosomal RNA (460 nucleotides) under uncultured bacterium. RNAcentral's name for it is "partial 16S ribosomal RNA". It matches the Rfam family "Bacterial small subunit ribosomal RNA", at positions 338 to 795 of the family's 1533-position model. The record is from RNAcentral.
CCUACGGGUAGCAGCAGUGAGGAAUAUUGGUCAAUGGACGAGAGUCUGAACCAGCCAAGUAGCGUGAAGGAUGACUGCCCUAUGGGUUGUAAACUUCUUUUAUAUGGGAAUAAAAUGUUCCACGUGUGGGAUUUUGUAUGUACCAUAUGAAUAAGGAUCGGCUAACUCCGUGCCAGCAGCCGCGGUAAUACGGAGGAUCCGAGCGUUAUCCGGAUUUAUUGGGUUUAAAGGGAGCGUAGGUGGAUUGUUAAGUCAGUUGUGAAAGUUUGCGGCUCAACCGUAAAAUUGCAGUUGAAACUGGCAGUCUUGAGUACAGUAGAGGUGGGCGGAAUUCGUGGUGUAGCGGUGAAAUGCUUAGAGAUCACGAAGAACUCCGAUUGCGAAGGCAGUUCACUGGACUGCAACUGACACUGAGGCUCGAAAGUGUGGGUAUCAAACAGGAUUAGAUACCCCAGUAGUC